Non-coding RNA from Pelobates cultripes (western spadefoot toad), 232 nucleotides. The record is from the annotation of a GenBank genome assembly. Lineage: Eukaryota; Metazoa; Chordata; Amphibia; Anura; Pelobatidae.
CUUCAAUUUCAGUGGCAAGGAACAAAGUGGAGGUUUGUCUCUCUCCCAUUUGGCAUUUCUUUUACUUCCUGGUGCUUCACAAAAGUUCUGAAGUCGGUAGUUGCCUUUCACGCACGUGAGGAGUAAGCUUAAUGAUAUAAUUAGACGACAUCCUUCUCCUGUCUCAGUCACAAUCCCAGCUUCACGUUCACCUGUCUUGGACAACUUAUCUUCUCCGAUACGUGGGGUUUCU